UACGGAGGGGGCUAGCGUUGUUCGGAAUUACUGGGCGUAAAGCGCACGUAGGCGGCUUUGUAAGUUAGAGGUGAAAGCCCAGGGCUUAACCCUGGAAUUGCCUUUAAGACUGCAUCGCUUGAAUCGUGGAGAGGUGAGUGGAAUUCCGAGUGUAGAGGUGAAAUUCGUAGAUAUUCGGAAAGAACACCAGUGGCGAAGGCGACUCACUGGACACGUAUUGACGCUGAGGUGCGAAAGCGUGGGGAGCAAACAGG
Molecule: ribosomal RNA, 254 nt
Filed under: uncultured bacterium
Lineage: Bacteria
Description: partial 16S ribosomal RNA
Rfam family: Bacterial small subunit ribosomal RNA
Source: RNAcentral